GAUGAACGCUGGCGGCGUGCUUAACACAUGCAAGUCGAACGAUAAAGCCCAGCUUGCUGGGUGGAUUAGUGGCGAACGGGUGAGUAGCACGUGAGUAACCUGCCCUUGACUCUGGGAUAAGCCCGGGAAACUGGGUCUAAUACCGGAUAGGAGCGCCUGUCGCAUGACGGGUGUUGGAAAGAUUUUUCGGUCAUGGAUGGACUCGCGGCCUAUCAGCUUGUUGGUGAGGUAAUGGCUCACCAAGGCGACGACGGGUAGCCGGCCUGAGAGGGUGACCGGCCACACUGGGACUGAGACACGGCCCAGACUCCUACGGGAGGCAGCAGUGGGGAAUAUUGCACAAUGGGCGGAAGCCUGAUGCAGCGACGCCGCGUGAGGGAUGACGGCCUUUCGGGUUGUAAACCUCCUUUCCAUAAGGGA
RNAcentral lists this ribosomal RNA (420 nucleotides) under Micrococcus sp. oral taxon F54. RNAcentral describes it as "bacterial SSU rRNA". It matches the Rfam family "Bacterial small subunit ribosomal RNA", at positions 28 to 447 of the family's 1533-position model. The record is from RNAcentral. Lineage: Bacteria; Bacillati; Actinomycetota; Actinomycetes; Micrococcales; Micrococcaceae.